ACAUUUAACAACGACGAAUACGAUAUCUCCAGUAUAUGUUUUUAUUCGAGUAAAUCACUUACAAAUGCAAAAAAGGUGAAGCUUUAAUAACGAAUACGAUAUUCCCAGUACAUAACGAGUUACCUGCUGUACUGUCGAGUUGCAUGCUAUAUGUUUUUAUUAAAGUAAAUCACGAACAAUUUCCAAAAAGGUGAGGCUUUGAUAACGACAUACAUAAUUUGUCGUAUUUCGAAAGUUUCGGACUGUUAUUUCACUCAGAACUCUAGAAAAAAACUAUAUCGACUUUUUUCCCACGGUCACGUGAUUGAUGACGUCAUAUUUUAAAAGUUAAUAAUUGUAAAAUCCUAUGUGCUAUUUGUCAUAUUUCGAAAGUUUCGUAAUGUUUUCUCAAUAGGAACUCGAGAAAAUGUUUUUUCCACGGUCACGUGAUUGAUGACGUCAUGAGAAUAACUGAUACGGCGUUGUCUUCGUUAUAAAAUUUGUACACUUAUGUUAAAGUUUGAUGAUUAUCGGUGAAAAUGGGACGUAGAUAUUGCGACAAUAUGUAACGACUUGCCUGCUGGAACGUUCAAAAUAAUCACAAAGUCACUCUUCGCGCUUUUCAUUUCCGUCAAUUAUUGCGGUCCCUUUAGGUGUGCAUGGAAAGCCCCUGGUUCCACCCGAGAGUGAUUAAAGAAAAACUUGGACCAUUCAGGACGCCUUUAGUGAGAAGGUAUUUCUUGGCCGGAAUCCUCCAAUUCAACAACACGAUGUGUGAAGCAGUCGGCUACAAAGGGGACUUGCACAAGUGCUCUGUAUGCUCUGAGUGAUAGUGCCAUGAAAAUAGCCAAAUGAGGAAUAGAUAUGGUUUCGUUAGCAAUAUAUUAGGGCUGGAAAAAGGCUUGAUUAUAAUUACUGGGGUUUCAUUAUUCUGUGAAUUCUCGCUGAUGAUUUUCAAUAGCUAAAUAGUAUUUUGCCUUUUGUCGUGCAAAAUCAUUGAAGCGUUUUCGUUGAUCAGUAAAAAAAUGGUUUCCAGUCACCUUCCGCAAGGCGCUGGCCAAUCAAAAAACACCAAAUGUGAUUCGGUUAUUUUGAAUGACAGGAGCCAGAAAGCAUAUUAGCUCUUGGAAAUUUAUUGACGAGAGUUCGCUUAAAACUAAUAAACAGCAGUAAAAA
This is a long non-coding RNA of Nematostella vectensis (starlet sea anemone), 1155 nucleotides long. RefSeq lists it as uncharacterized. The transcript is spliced from 4 exons. The record is from RefSeq and is a predicted model, not a curated record. NCBI's taxonomy places the organism in Eukaryota, Metazoa, Cnidaria, Anthozoa, Actiniaria, Edwardsiidae.